GCCGAUGUGGCGAAAUGGCAGACGCAAGGGACUUAAAAUCCCUCGGGGGCAACUCCGUACCGGUUCGAGUCCGGUCAUCGGCACCA
RNAcentral lists this transfer RNA (86 nucleotides) under Candidatus Coproplasma avicola. Its description in RNAcentral is "tRNA-Leu". It matches the Rfam family "tRNA". From Rfam's summary of the family: Transfer RNA (tRNA) molecules are approximately 80 nucleotides in length. Their secondary structure includes four short double-helical elements and three loops (D, anti-codon, and T loops). Lineage: Bacteria; Bacillati; Bacillota; Clostridia; Eubacteriales. The record is from RNAcentral.